This 433-nucleotide ribosomal RNA is filed under the name uncultured bacterium. RNAcentral's name for it is "partial 16S ribosomal RNA". It matches the Rfam family "Bacterial small subunit ribosomal RNA", at positions 29 to 507 of the family's 1533-position model. The record is from RNAcentral.
AACGAACGCUGGCGGCAUGCCUAACACAUGCAAGUCGAACGAGACCUUCGGGUCUAGUGGCGCACGGGUGCGUAACGCGUGGGAACCUGCCCUUAGGUUCGGAAUAACUCCCCGAAAGGGGUGCUAAUACCGGAUAAUUUCUUCGGACCAAAGAUUUAUCGCCUUUGGAUGGGGCCGCGUUGGAUUAGCUAGUUGGUAGGGUAAAAGCCUACCAAGGCGACGAUCCAUAGCUGGUCUGAGAGGAUGAUCAGCGACACUGGGACUGAGACACGGCCCAGACUCGUACGAGAGGCAGCAGUGGGGACUAUUGGAGAAUGGGCGAAAGCCUGAUCCAGCAAGGCCGCGUUAGUGAUGAAGGCCUUAGGGUUGUAAAGCUCUUUUACCCGGGAUGAUAAUGACAGUACCGGGAGAAUAAGCACCGGCUAACUCCGUG